RNAcentral lists this ribosomal RNA (225 nucleotides) under uncultured bacterium. Its description in RNAcentral is "partial 16S ribosomal RNA". It matches the Rfam family "Bacterial small subunit ribosomal RNA", at positions 569 to 793 of the family's 1533-position model. The record is from RNAcentral.
GUGCAGGCGGUUUUCUAAGUCUGAUGUGAAAGCCUUCGGCUUAACCGGAGAAGUGCAUCGGAAACUGGAUAACUUGAGUGCAGAAGAGGGUAGUGGAACUCCAUGUGUAGCGGUGGAAUGCGUAGAUAUAUGGAAGAACACCAGUGGCGAAGGCGGCUACCUGGUCUGCAACUGACGCUGAGACUCGAAAGCAUGGGUAGCGAACAGGAUUAGAUACCCUGGUAG